Hippocampus zosterae (dwarf seahorse) is the source of this 174-nucleotide long non-coding RNA. RefSeq lists it as uncharacterized. The record is from RefSeq and is a predicted model, not a curated record. The transcript is spliced from 2 exons. Lineage: Eukaryota; Metazoa; Chordata; Actinopteri; Syngnathiformes; Syngnathidae.
ACAUUGCGUUGGGGGAAUAAUAACUAAACAGGAAGAGCGAUUCACCAUAAGGGCGAGGAGGGGCACCAAAUUGGGCCAUGAUCAGCUACAGUCGCUGAGAUGGAAAACAUGCAGCGGUCGUGAGAGGCAGCGUUGCCAAGAUUAAAAGCGUUGGACAUCAAUUUCUUGAUGUGA